AUCAGCUGAUUGCAUCUCCUGUGCCUCUCAUCUCCCCCACCUCUGUGUGAGUCCUGUCUCAGAGGAGGAAUCACAUAGCUGGGCCAACUAGAAACACACUGGAGAAACACAUGACAAGGGGAUGGGGAUAAUAAUCGUUAUUAUGAAUAUUAUCAGGUUGCCACAGUGGAGAUGGUGAUGAGGAGGUGAUAGAAGACAGUGAUGAUGGUGAUGAGGAGGAGGAGGAGGUGAUAGAAGACAGUGAUGAUGGUGAUCAUGGUGAUGAGGAGGAGGUGAUAGAAGACAGCGAUGAUGGUGAUGAUGGUGAUGAGGAGGAGGAGGUGAUAGAAGACAGUGAUGAUGGUGAUGAUGGUGAUGAUGAGGAGGAGGAGGUGAUAGAAGACAGUGAUGAUGGUGAUGAUGGUGAUGAUGAGGAGGAGGAGGUGAUAGAAGACAGUGAUGAUGGUGAUCAUGGUGAUGAGGAGGUGAUAGAAGACAGUGAUGAUGGUGAUGAUGGUGAUGAGGAGGAGGACGAGGUGAUAGAAGACAGUGAUGAUGGUGAUGAUGGUGAUGAUGAGGAGGAGGAGGUGAUAGAAGACAGUGAUGAUGGUGAUGAUGGUGAUGAUGAGGAGGAGGAGGUGAUAGAAGACAGUGAUGAUGGUGAUGAUGAGGAGGAGGAGGUGAUAGAAGACAGUGAUGAUGGUGGUCAUUGUGAUGAGGAGGUGAUAGAAGACAGUGAUGAUGGUGGUCAUGGUGAUGAGGAGGAGGUGAUAGAAGACAGUGAUGAUGGUGAUCAUGGUGAUGAGGAGGAGGUGAUAGAAGACAGUGAUGAUGGUGGUCAUGGUGAUGAGGAGGAGGUGAUAGAAGACAGUGAUGAUGGUGAUGAUGGUGAUGAUGAGGAGGAGGAGGUGAUAGAAGACAGUGAUGAUGGUGAUCAUGGUGAUGAUGAGGAGGAGGAGGUGAUAGAAGACAGUGAUGAUGGUGAUCAUGGUGAUGAG
Molecule: long non-coding RNA, 977 nt
Filed under: Salmo salar (Atlantic salmon)
Lineage: Eukaryota; Metazoa; Chordata; Actinopteri; Salmoniformes; Salmonidae
Description: lncRNA (ENSSSAG00000093926.1, ENSSSAG00000114231.1)
Source: RNAcentral